This 76-nucleotide small RNA is filed under the name Xanthomonas campestris. RNAcentral describes it as "sRNA sX9". It matches the Rfam family "Xanthomonas sRNA sX9". The record is from RNAcentral. Lineage: Bacteria; Pseudomonadati; Pseudomonadota; Gammaproteobacteria; Lysobacterales; Lysobacteraceae. RNAcentral also lists the same sequence under 2 other names.
CUGUGCCAGGUGUGCACCGGAGUUCUUCCGCGCCGUCCAGGCUGCGCUGACGACUGCUCGUUACGUUGUGCCGGCC